Molecule: ribosomal RNA, 361 nt
Filed under: uncultured bacterium
Lineage: Bacteria
Description: bacterial SSU rRNA
Rfam family: Bacterial small subunit ribosomal RNA
Source: RNAcentral
AACGAACGCUGGCGGCGCGCUUAACACAUGCAAGUCGAACGAGAAGGCGUAGCAAUACGCUUGUACAGUGGCGAACGGGUGAGGAAUACAUGGGUAACCUACCCUCGAGUGGGGGAUAACCCGCCGAAAGGCGGGCUAAUACCGCGUACGCUUCCGAUCUUGCGGGAUCGGAAGGAAAGCUGUCCCUUGGGGAUGGCGCUCAAGGAUGGGCUCAUGUCCUAUCAGCUUGUUGGAGGGUAACGGCCUACCAAGGCAUCGACGGGUAGCUGGUCUGAGAGGACGAUCAGCCACACUGGCACUGCGACACGGGCCAGACUCCUACGGGAGGCAGCAGUGAGGAAUAUUGCGCAAUGGGCGAAAG